GCCAACAUACCGAAACGGUUAUAACGGCGUGGUCUUGAAAACCAUUGUGUCGGUUAAAAUCCGACAUGGGGGUUCAAAUCCCUCUGUUGGCG
Molecule: transfer RNA, 92 nt
Filed under: Bacteriophage sp.
Also listed under: 1 other name
Description: tRNA-Ser
Rfam family: tRNA
About the family: Transfer RNA (tRNA) molecules are approximately 80 nucleotides in length. Their secondary structure includes four short double-helical elements and three loops (D, anti-codon, and T loops).
Source: RNAcentral